Molecule: long non-coding RNA, 2167 nt
Organism: Phragmites australis (common reed)
Lineage: Eukaryota; Viridiplantae; Streptophyta; Magnoliopsida; Poales; Poaceae
Exons: 3
Source: RefSeq, a predicted model, not a curated record
CUACGUGCGGAUUUUUUUCGUUCCAACGUGCGCCUGGACGCCCGAGCCCUAAUCCUCCGCGCCGCCCACCCCGGCCUCCAAGCCCUUCUCGCGCCUCGCCUCCGCGCCGUCCUCCGGCCUCUCCACCACGCCGCCGCACACUUCCGCCUCCCGCCGCAGUCCAGAUCUCUGCGUCCUGCUCCAUCCUGUGCGCCCAGCCCUUGAGCAGCCCCUUGAGAAGGGGCGAGCAUCCGAGCUAUGGGAGCCUGGGAGGCAGCCGUCAUUGGCCGGUUGGAAGUGGGUGCCAGCCAGGAGGUACCAGCGCGGCCUAGUUGGGCCUGGGUGGGAGACGGAAGCUGGCGUGCUUGCAGCAGGUGCGUCAUGCGUCUCCUCGUGCAGUGUGGCCAGAUCAGCGGCACGAAGCUGGGGCGGCGGUGGGAUGACAAGCAAAGUGGAAAUGCAGACCAUGUGCUCGAUAGUUCUCCUCUAAGAAGUGAGGUCCAAAAUCAUCUUGUGACUCAGUAUUUCGAUUCCCAGCCAAAUAACCACGCUCGGGUCUCUGCUCAGAAAAAAAUCCUCAUUCUUCGUUGCCAUCUAUCGGAGGUGUCACCAUAUAUGCUGUUGACAAGGGGUUAUGAUUUGGGGAAAAUCUUGGCUUGAUGAAAGCGGCAUUGUUUGCAGCUGUUUGCAUCUGUCGGUUGUCAGAGGACUUCUCAUGCAUCAUCCUUGAAGUGCUGAGAAGAUUGACUUGCUCCUAGGGAUCAGAACCACAAGUGAUUCUGGCAGCAAUUAAAGCUUUUUCGAAGCUUGAUUGUAUGUUGGCUCUUGGCUGUUAUACAUAGAGUUCAUGAGGUGUUUAUGGAUAUAAGUUUGUUGCUUAAAUAAUAACUUUAUUCAUUUACUUCAAUCGGCCAACAUCAGUGAUGUUUGGGCAAAUUUAUAUGGGUGUUGACAUGUUUGUUCAUAUCUACAUAUGUUGAAAGCUAAUAUAAACAUUAAUGAUAUUUUAUUCAUCGGUUUACAUUGGGAAAAAAUACAAAUAACUAAUGUGAGGUUAAGGUUACAUUCUGCUUUUCACUUCCAAAAGGAGAUAUUCUGCAUUUUCUUUUUCUUUUUCUUUUUGCAUGCAGUUGUUCUCACUAAACUUUAAGAAAGAGCCUUUUGUUGUUAAUAUCACAGGUCGGAAAACAGAUGGUUCUAGGCACACUGGGAGAUGUGUUCAAAGCUGAAAUGCUCUCUUCGCUCUCAUUGUAGGUGGAAUUGUUGUUGUUGUUUUUGGGUCAUGACUCUUCUCAUUCUAUGAAGUCUAUGGCAUUAAAGAGUUUAUAUUUUAUAUUUCGCAGAAAUACCUGCCAUUUUCCUGUUAUUAGGACUAUUUUUGGCAGAUUGUUACCGCUAUUUGAUGAUAAGGAUUUUUCACUUCACUGUAAGAGUGAUGUGUUAAGGAUUCUGCAGAAGGUGAUGGCAAAUGACUUCUGUGCUUGCUGAUUUAGCCUUUUUUUGUUGUAAUUUGAUUUGGUCGAAACCAUUUUCAGAUGUUCUGUGGUAAAGCUCCAAGCUUUAGUCAUGAGAAUGGUUCCGAGUUAUCUAAGCUUGUUCUGGCUGCUGAAAUAUUUUUGCAUUCUUCUUUCUGGGAGAUGCAAGGUACAACUCUAGAAAUUAUUGUGGAAAUCUUAUGCUUGCACAAGCAAGCAAGGCCAGAUCUGACCUCAACCACUGGGAGUGGUUCAUCAUUUGCAUACCUGAAUGCCAAGGAAUUACCAACAACAUUGAAGCUUCUCUGGUUGAAACAAAUAUUUGUAAAGCAAAACUGGAUUCCACUUAAUUUAAUGGCAAGGAGAAUGAAUCCGGAGUGCAUGAUAUACUUCUUUGCAUGCUCAAAUUUGCAAAUGCUUGUCACGAUAUGCUUUGUAAAUCAUCUGGUGCAAGAUGCAAUCUUCGUGAUUGCAUUAAGAGUCUAAUCGAGUGUGUAUCAUAACGCCCCUCAGUAUUGGAGCACAUAUGAAGACUUUCAUAUGAUUAAGCAGGCUGGUUCAUGGACGUCUUCGACAUCACCGACACUGGGCCACAAGGUGUCCGAUGUUGAUGAGCUGCUGCUCAAGGAAGAACAAGGUGGCAUGUGCUGGUCGACCAAUAUGGCGAAGUCCGAUGGCCGUCAUACCUGCCUAACAUUGGAGUCUCCCUCAAC